Molecule: ribosomal RNA, 117 nt
Filed under: uncultured bacterium
Lineage: Bacteria
Description: partial 16S ribosomal RNA
Source: RNAcentral
CGCCGCUGGGGGGGAUGAAGCUUCUCGGAGUGUAAAACCCCCUUUUCGACCCCGGGAAGAAUGCCCGCAAGGGGCUUUGACGGUACGGGGUAUAAGAAGCCCCGGCUAACUACGUGC